Non-coding RNA from Schizosaccharomyces pombe (fission yeast), 371 nucleotides. The record is from the annotation of a GenBank genome assembly. NCBI's taxonomy places the organism in Eukaryota, Fungi, Ascomycota, Schizosaccharomycetes, Schizosaccharomycetales, Schizosaccharomycetaceae.
AUCGACCAUACAUCUCUUCACCUCGAAAUAACGUGUCAAUCUCGUCAAUCCCGGGUUGAGAAGGCUUUAUGGAAUAUAAUUGACUCAGAUCCUCAACUUUAUGAUCAGGAUAUUUUUUGUGAAACUCUUGGAUCUCUCCCAGCGAUUUAUAAAACUCUGUUAAAUCAUCGUCUGCAUUGAUACGCGCAACUUCUUGAUCCUUUAAUCUAGCGAAUUCAAGUUAGCGGUCAAUACUACAAUUUUCUUGAUUUUACUUACCGAUCAGAGGAUUCAUGGGAAACUAACAACUUUUUGCUAGUUUCGCGAAAUUGGUUAAGAAAUUGUGCACUCUGAUGCUCAAGCCGAAGCCGUUCACGAGGAGCCUUAGGGUU